RNAcentral lists this ribosomal RNA (382 nucleotides) under uncultured bacterium. RNAcentral's name for it is "bacterial SSU rRNA". It matches the Rfam family "Bacterial small subunit ribosomal RNA", at positions 30 to 412 of the family's 1533-position model. The record is from RNAcentral.
AUUGAACGCUGGCGGCAUGCCUUACACAUGCAAGUCGAACGGCAGCACGGGAGCAAUCCUGGUGGCGAGUGGCGAACGGGUGAGUAAUAUAUCGGAACGUGCCCAGUCGUGGGGAUAACGUAGCGAAAGCUACGCUAAUACCGCAUACGAUCUAUGGAUGAAAGCGGGGGAUCGCAAGACCUCGCGCGAUUGGAGCGGCCGAUAUCAGAUUAGGUAGUUGGUGAGGUAAAGGCUCACCAAGCCGACGAUCUGUAGCUGGUCUGAGAGGACGACCAGCCACACUGGGACUGAGACACGGCCCAGACUCCUACGGGAGGCAGCAGUGGGGAAUUUUGGACAAUGGGCGCAAGGCCUGAUCCAGCAAUGCCGCGUGCAGGAUGAA